GCUGCUGUGAGAGGUACCCCCUUCCUUAUGGGACUGUAGAUUUAUGGGAAACAGUGAUUAUUGCUGCAGUUUUAUCCCCAGCAUUAAGGGAAGCUUAGUGGUUAGCAAAGGAAGAACGUGAAUUUUGGAGGCCAGAAAAAAAUGAUCUUAAAUACUAGUUUGACAUUUUUCUUGAGUGAACAUUGUCACAUUAUUUUACGUAUGGAUUAUAAUAGACCCUUGAAAUAUUUAAGGAACAAUCUUGAGGCAUGGGAAUACUCAAAUGCAAGAAUACUACCCGAAUAUUUCUGGAGAGCUACAAUAGAGAGGCUGAGGAGAAGGAGGAAUAGAAGAGGUCGAUCUUGCUGUCUUAGGGUGGCAGAGGCAGAAGAGGAGAAGAGGUGGAAGGGGAAGCAAGAGAGUAAGGCAUACUUGGUGUAACUUUUACUGAAAAAAUCCAUGUGUAAGUGGACCUACACAGUUCAAAGCUUUGUUGUUCAAAGAUCAACUGUAUAUUAUAGUUCAUGUGAGAAGUCAGGGUCAGAGCAAGAAAGGCAAGAAGUUGUCUGUAACAAAUCAUCUGUAUCCCAUAAUUCUUUCACAUACACACAAAUUAAAUAGAACACUUUAAAAAUUACUUCUAAUGCUUCUAGUUUAAGAUGUCAGACAAGGUACAAGUCUUCAUUUUAACAUCUACUAAGAAAAAAGUAGAGAUGCACAAAGAGAAGUAAACUAAUUACAUUGUAGACAAUGAAAUUGUGGAUAAACCAACAGACAAAUUAUUUUAAUAAAGUUUGGGAGAUUGAAAAUGAAUGGGAAUAUUUUGGUGAAUGAAAUAGGCUGAGAAAUUCAUCGUUUUAUAGAUGAUAAGCUACAAGGAGAUAUAAGUCAAUCUCUUCUGCAAAAUCCCAGAAAGUCUCUGGCCUGAGUCCAUAGCAAGGGAAUAAGAACUGAAGUUGAAAUCAGGGGAUUUGUUUGAAGUCUGUAAUGAAGCUGCUGCAACCAGUAGGUACCUCAGUCCUUCUUCCCCAAACCAACAUGCAGGCAAAACAUCAGGUGGCUCUUCUCUAAAACUGAACAAUAUUUGGGAAAAGCAAAGACUUCUAGUCCUAGUCACCUAUGGAUAAAGCAUAGAAGGCUUUUCUGUGCUUGCAGGACUGAAUGCAAAUUUUAAUAAAUUUACAUGGUAAAAAAAACCCCAAAGGUAUAAUGGAUAGGAGGAAAAAUAGAACAUGUAGAAGGAAGGGUAAGGAUGCCAAUACACUGAUACCAUUAAUGCAGUCAUUCAUUCAUUCACUUGACAAAUAUUUGCUGAGAAUCUACUGGGUGCAGAUGUUGUUUUAGGUACUUGAGAUACAGAGAAAGGGGGAAAAGACAGACAAAACUUCUUACCCUUUUGAAGCUUACAUUAAAUUAUGCCUUUAAUAAGUGAGUUGCAAGAGAUACUGCAAGAGCUGAUGGGAUAAGAAAUAGAGGUUUAAAUAUAUUAUUUAAAGAUAUAAAGAUAACUGAUAGAAUUAUUAAUACUAAUAAUAUAUAUUGAAAAGAAUAGAGAUGAGUAAGUGACCUGAAUUUCAAGCUCUCAUGUAUGGGAUUAAUUAGAUACUAUCUAAAGUGGAUAAAUCAAAACAGAGAUAAAAUCAUAGUAUCUGGAAUUAGGGAGGUAACCACUAAAACUACAAGCAGAAACAA
RNAcentral lists this long non-coding RNA (1671 nucleotides) under Homo sapiens (human). RNAcentral describes it as "novel transcript". The record is from RNAcentral. Lineage: Eukaryota; Metazoa; Chordata; Mammalia; Primates; Hominidae.